CGAGCGAACAGGGAUAAGCCCAGCACCGAAUCCCGCGGCCCAACCGGUCGCCGGGAAAUGUGGUGUUAAGAAGGAUCCGUUAUCUCGAUGAACGACGCCUGUCCAAGUCCAUCUUGAACGGGGCCAUAACCCAUAGAGGGUGCCAGGCCCGUAUGACGGUGUUGAUCGUCGAGAGGAUCUCUUCCGAGAGUCGGGUUGCUUGAGAGUGCAGCCCUAAGUGGGUGGUAAACUCCAUCUAAGGCUAAAUAUAACCACGAGACCGAUAGCGAACAAGUACCGUGAGGGAAAGUUGAAAAGAACUUUGAAGAGAGAGUUCAAUAGUACGUGAAACCGUUCAGGGGUAAACCUGAGAAACCCGAAAGGUCGAAAGGAGAGAUUCAUUCGCGGCCCGGAUGUUCGUCGUAGCCAUUGGGUUGACGGAGCGUUCUUCGCGAGCGCUUCGCCCCUUUGUGUUCCGAACGUUCGUCGGACGCGUGCACUUCUCUCCUAGUAGGACGUCGCGACCCGUCGGGUGCCGGUCGAAGGCCCGCAAGGGAGCCCGUGAGCACGACGCAAGUCGGCGUUCGCGGACCUGCGGUCGCCUGGCCGGCCGCCCGACGGUAUGCAGACGGCGUGAGGCCGCGAAUUUUCGCGCCCGGCCUGCGGCAAGCGCGCCUUACGCGCCGGCUUUCGGAAUUACCGCCGAUGCUGGCCUGAGGUGGCUGUUCGCCGUAGACGUUCUCGGGCAGACCUCUUAGCCGAUCGGCGACGCUACAGCUUUGGGUACUCUCAGGGCCCGUCUUGAACCGGGGACCAAGGAGUCUAGCAUGUGUGCAAGUCAUUGGGUCUAACUAAACCUAAAGGCGAAAUGAAAGUAAAGGUCUUUCGGGACCGAGGGAGGAUGGCUGGCCCUCUGUGGUCGGCCCGCACUCCCGGGGCGUCUUAAUCUCUUUUAGAGACGAGGCGCACCAAGAGCGUACACGCUGGGACCCGAAAGAUGGUGAACUAUGCCCGGUCAGGACGAAGUCAGGGGAAACCCUGAUGGAGGUCCGUAGCGGUUCUGACGUGCAAAUCGAUCGUCUGAACUGGGUAUAGGGGCGAAAGACUAAUCGAACCAUCUAGUAGCUGGUUCCCUCCGAAGUUUCCCUCAGGAUAGCUGGCGCUCGAUGCGUACGAUUCUCAUCCGGUAAAGCGAAUGAUUAGAGGCAUUGGGGUCGAAAC
This 1200-nucleotide ribosomal RNA is filed under the name Delphastus sp. CO577. Its description in RNAcentral is "eukaryotic LSU rRNA". It matches the Rfam family "Eukaryotic large subunit ribosomal RNA", at positions 90 to 1042 of the family's 3401-position model. Lineage: Eukaryota; Metazoa; Arthropoda; Insecta; Coleoptera; Coccinellidae. The record is from RNAcentral.